UAUAUAUAAAUGUAAGAUGCAUAUAGAAUUUUGAUUUCUAAAGAUUUAGUUUGAUUCUAAAAUAUAUAA
RNAcentral lists this transfer RNA (69 nucleotides) under Idiostolus sp. RNAcentral describes it as "tRNA-Gln". Lineage: Eukaryota; Metazoa; Arthropoda; Insecta; Hemiptera; Idiostolidae. The record is from RNAcentral.